RNAcentral lists this ribosomal RNA (379 nucleotides) under uncultured bacterium. RNAcentral's name for it is "bacterial SSU rRNA". It matches the Rfam family "Bacterial small subunit ribosomal RNA", at positions 521 to 896 of the family's 1533-position model. The record is from RNAcentral.
UAAUACGUAGGGUCCGAGCGUUGUCCGGAUUUAUUGGGCGUAAAGAGCUCGUAGGCGGCUCAGUAAGUCAGAUGUGAAAACUCAGGGCUCAACCCGGAGACGCCAUCUGAUACUGCUGUGGCUUGAGUCUGGUAGGGGAUCACGGAAUUCCUGGUGUAGCGGUGAAAUGCGCAGAUAUCAGGAGGAACACCGAUGGCGAAGGCAGUGAUCUGGGCCAGUACUGACGCUGAGGAGCGAAAGCGUGGGUAGCAAACAGGAUUAGAUACCCUGGUAGUCCACGCCGUAAACGUUGGGCACUAGGUGUGGGACCCCGUCAACGGGUUCCGUGCCGUAGCUAACGCAUUAAGUGCCCCGCCUGGGGAGUACGGCCGCAAGGCUA